AGAGCGAACGCUGGCGGCGUGCUUAACACAUGCAAGUCGAGCGGAAAGGCCCUUCGGGGUACUCGAGCGGCGAACGGGUGAGUAACACGUGGGUUACCUGCCUCGAUGACCGGGACAACCCGAGGAAACUCGGGCUAAUACCGGAUGUGCCCGCAAGGGGAAAGGAAGCUUCGGCCUCCGCAUCGAGAUGGGCCCGCGGCCCAUUAGCUUGUUGGUGAGGUAACGGCUCACCAAGGCUUCGAUGGGUAGCUGGUCUGAGAGGACGAUCAGCCACACUGGGACUGAGACACGGCCCAGACUCCUACGGGAGGCAGCAGUGGGGAAUCUUGCGCAAUGCGCGAAAGCGUGACGCAGCAACGCCGCGUGGGGGAAGAAGGCUUUCGGGGUUGUAAACCCCGUUUCAGUUUGGGACGAAGGCUUCUCCGGUGAAUAGCCGGAUGGAGUGACGGUACCUUCACAAGAAGCACCGGCUAACUACGCGCCAGCAGCCGCGGUAA
Molecule: ribosomal RNA, 497 nt
Filed under: uncultured bacterium
Lineage: Bacteria
Description: SSU rRNA
Rfam family: Bacterial small subunit ribosomal RNA
Source: RNAcentral